This 335-nucleotide ribosomal RNA is filed under the name uncultured soil bacterium. Its description in RNAcentral is "bacterial SSU rRNA". It matches the Rfam family "Bacterial small subunit ribosomal RNA", at positions 26 to 390 of the family's 1533-position model. The record is from RNAcentral.
AGAACGAACGCUGGCGGCAUGCCUAAUACAUGCAAGUCGAACGAACACUUCGGUGUUAGUGGCGCACGGGUGCGUAACGCGUGGGAAUCUGCCCUUGGGUUCGGAAUAACAGUUGGAAACGACUGCUAAUACCGGAUGAUAUCGAAAGAUCAAAGAUUUAUCGCCCAGGGAUGAGCCCGCGUAGGAUUAGCUAGUUGGUGAGGUAAGCUCACCAAGGCGACGAUCCUAGCUGGUCUGAGAGGAUGACUCAGCCACACGUGGGACUGAGACACCGGCCCAGACCUCCGUAGGGAGCAGCAGUAGGGAUAGUGACAAGUGGGCGACAAGCUAGAUCC